Molecule: microRNA precursor, 83 nt
Filed under: Marmota monax (woodchuck)
Lineage: Eukaryota; Metazoa; Chordata; Mammalia; Rodentia; Sciuridae
Rfam family: mir-692 microRNA precursor family
Source: RNAcentral
UAACCUCCACCGUAUGGCGGGCCCCCAGGCUGGCCUGGGCGAGUAUCUCUUUGAAAGACUCACCCUCAAGCAUGACUAGAGGC